This 71-nucleotide transfer RNA is filed under the name Isosphaera pallida ATCC 43644. Its description in RNAcentral is "tRNA-Cys (GCA) (tRNA-Cys-GCA-2-1)". It matches the Rfam family "tRNA". From Rfam's summary of the family: Transfer RNA (tRNA) molecules are approximately 80 nucleotides in length. Their secondary structure includes four short double-helical elements and three loops (D, anti-codon, and T loops). Further hydrogen bonds mediate the characteristic L-shaped molecular structure. tRNAs have two regions of fundamental functional importance: the anti-codon, which is responsible for specific mRNA codon recognition, and the 3' end, to which the tRNAs corresponding amino acid is attached (by aminoacyl-tRNA synthetases). tRNAs cope with the degeneracy of the genetic code in two manners: having more than one tRNA (with a specific anti-codon) for a particular amino acid; and 'wobble' base-pairing, i.e. permitting non-standard base-pairing at the 3rd anti-codon position. The record is from Rfam by way of RNAcentral. Lineage: Bacteria; Pseudomonadati; Planctomycetota; Planctomycetia; Isosphaerales; Isosphaeraceae.
GACGCUGGUGCCGGAUGGUGAGGCGACCGGCUGCAACCCGGUUGAAGUGGGUUCGAUUCCCACCGGCGUCU